ACCUGCCCUUAACUCUGGGAUAAGCCUGGGAAACUGGGUCUAAUACCGGAUAGGAGCGCCUACCGCAUGGUGGGUGUUGGAAAGAUUUAUCGGUUUUGGAUGGACUCGCGGCCUAUCAGCUUGUUGGUGAGGUAAUGGCUCACCAAGGCGACGACGGGUAGCCGGCCUGAGAGGGUGACCGGCCACACUGGGACUGAGACACGGCCCAGACUCCUACGGGAGGCAGCAGUGGGGAAUAUUGCACAAUGGGCGAAAGCCUGAUGCAGCGACGCCGCGUGAGGGAUGACGGCCUUCGGGUUGUAAACCUCUUUCAGUAGGGAAGAAGCGAAAGUGACGGUACCUGCAGAAGAAGCACCGGCUAACUACGUGCCAGCAGCCGCGGUAAUACGUAGGGUGCGAGCGUUAUCCGGAAUUAUUGGGCGUAAAGAGCUCGUAGGCGGUUUGUCGCGUCUGUCGUGAAAGUCCGGGGCUUAACCCCGGAUCUGCGGUGGGUACGGGCAGACUAGAGUGCAGUAGGGGAGACUGGAAUUCCUGGUGUAGCGGUGGAAUGCGCAGAUAUCAGGAGGAACACCGAUGGCGAAGGCAGGUCUCUGGGCUGUAACUGACGCUGAGGAGCGAAAGCAUGGGGAGCGAACAGGAUUAGAUACCCUGGUAGUCCAUGCCGUAAACGUUGGGCACUAGGUGUGGGGACCAUUCCACGGUUUCCGCGCCGCAGCUAACGCAUUAAGUGCCCCGCCUGGGGAGUACGGGCCGCAAGGCUAAAACUCAAAGGAAUUGACGGGGGCCCGCACAAGCGGCGGAGCAUGCGGAUUAAUUCGAUGCAACGCGAAGAACCUUACCAAGGCUUGACAUGUUCUCGAUCGCCGUAGAGAUACGGUUUCCCCUUUGGGGCGGGUUCACAGGUGGUGCAUGGUUGUCGUCAGCUCGUGUCGUGAGAUGUUGGGUUAAGUCCCGCAACGAGCGCAACCCUCGUUCCAUGUUGCCAGCACGUAAUGGUGGGGACUCAUGGGAGACUGCCGGGGUCAACUCGGAGGAAGGUGAGGACGACGUCAAAUCAUCAUGCCCCUUAUGUCUUGGGCUUCACGCAUGCUACAAUGGCCGGUACAAUGGGUUGCGAUACUGUGAGGUGGAGCUAAUCCCAAAAAGCCGGUCUCAGUUCGGAUUGGGGUCUGCAACUCGACCCCAUGAAGUCGGAGUCGCUAGUAAUCGCAGAUC
RNAcentral lists this ribosomal RNA (1215 nucleotides) under Micrococcus sp. RNP02. RNAcentral's name for it is "bacterial SSU rRNA". It matches the Rfam family "Bacterial small subunit ribosomal RNA", at positions 124 to 1350 of the family's 1533-position model. Lineage: Bacteria; Bacillati; Actinomycetota; Actinomycetes; Micrococcales; Micrococcaceae. The record is from RNAcentral.